This 253-nucleotide ribosomal RNA is filed under the name uncultured bacterium. Its description in RNAcentral is "partial 16S ribosomal RNA". It matches the Rfam family "Bacterial small subunit ribosomal RNA", at positions 524 to 776 of the family's 1533-position model. The record is from RNAcentral.
GACGUAGGGUGCGAGCGUUGUCCGGAUUUAUUGGGCGUAAAGAGCUCGUAGGCGGUCUGUCGCGUCGGCUGUGAAAACCCGAGGCUCAACCUCGGGCCUGCAGUCGAUACGGGCAAACUAGAGUACUGCAGGGGAGACUGGAAUUCCUGGUGUAGCGGUGAAAUGCGCAGAUAUCAGGAGGAACACCGGUGGCGAAGGCGGGUCUCUGGGCAGUAACUGACGCUGAGGAGCGAAAGCGUGGGGAGCGAACAGG